Molecule: long non-coding RNA, 372 nt
Filed under: Zostera marina
Lineage: Eukaryota; Viridiplantae; Streptophyta; Magnoliopsida; Alismatales; Zosteraceae
Description: long non-coding RNA (ZMAR_LNC000589)
Source: RNAcentral
UUUGGAGGAAAUAAAAUUAUAGGGUGCACAUCAGAGACGGACCGAGGAGAUUGGUAGGUGUAACAAUCCAGCAAGAUUUAGAGGCAGUUACAUCCAGACUGAGGGAUGAUCUGAGCAUUGAUGAAGAGAUCACCGGUGAUCUGGUCGACGGUGACACAACCAUCUGCGAGGAAACAGUCCGUAGGCCCAUCCGGUCCAAACAGAUCGAAGAAUCAGGAUAAUAAUUAUAUUUACUUUUUAAGUAAUUUUCAUUUAAUUAGCUAUAAGUGGUAGAAAUUAGUGGGGUUAUCCAAUGUUGGUGUUAUCCGAAUUGAGUAAAUAAUUGCUUUAAAUAUAAUGGAAACCCAAUGUUGGGAUUAUCCAACUUUACAG